UUCUUUCACGCUUGUAUCAUCCGUAACUUUCUGAACUUCAUUAUCUCGAAUUUCUAACUUAUUUGAAUUUGUGUAGCUUAAUAGACCCAACAAAUUCAAUUUCUGCAUCAUAAAAAUAACAUAAAUACAAUCCAAAAUUAAAAUACGCAAACAAUAAUAACAACAACAUACAAUUUAUACCUCAAGUACAUCGCGGGUACACUUCUCGGACACCUUCUCCUCAGUCAUCCUCUCUCGCUCCUCAU
Molecule: long non-coding RNA, 245 nt
Filed under: Lathyrus oleraceus (garden pea)
Lineage: Eukaryota; Viridiplantae; Streptophyta; Magnoliopsida; Fabales; Fabaceae
Description: Pisum sativum (pea) long non-coding RNA (PSAT_LNC008442)
Source: RNAcentral